GUGAACGCUGGCGGUAGGCCUAACACAUGCAAGUCGAACGGCAGCACCGUAAGAGCUUGCUCUUACGGGUGGCGAGUGGCGGACGGGUGAGGAAUACAUCGGAAUCUACUUUUUCGUGGGGGAUAACGUAGGGAAACUUACGCUAAUACCGCAUACGACCUACGGGUGAAAGCAGGGGAUCUUCGGACCUUGCGCGAUUGAAUGAGCCGAUGUUGGAUUAGCUAGUUGGCGGGGUAAAGGCCCACCAAGGCGACGAUCCGUAGCUGGUCUGAGAGGAUGAUCAGCCACACUGGAACUGAGACACGGUCCAGACUCCUACGGGAGGCAGCAGUGGGGAAUAUUGGACAAUGGGCGCAAGCCUGAUCCAGCCAUACCGCGUGGGUGAAGAAGGCCUUCGGGUUGUAAAGCCCUUUUGUUGGGAAAGAAAAGCAGCAGGUUAAUACCCCGCUGUUCUGACGGUACCCAAAGAAUAAGCACCGGCUAACUUCGUG
RNAcentral lists this ribosomal RNA (491 nucleotides) under uncultured bacterium. RNAcentral describes it as "partial 16S ribosomal RNA". It matches the Rfam family "Bacterial small subunit ribosomal RNA", at positions 29 to 507 of the family's 1533-position model. The record is from RNAcentral.